RNAcentral lists this ribosomal RNA (253 nucleotides) under uncultured bacterium. Its description in RNAcentral is "partial 16S ribosomal RNA". It matches the Rfam family "Bacterial small subunit ribosomal RNA", at positions 524 to 776 of the family's 1533-position model. The record is from RNAcentral.
UACGGAGGGAGCAAGCGUUACUCGGAAUUAUUGGGCGUAAAGGGCGCGUAGGCGGCGUGGUAAGUCAGCUGUGAAAUCUCCGAGCUUAACUCGGAACGGUCAGCUGAUACUGCUGUGCUAGAGUACAGAAGGGGCAAUCGGAAUUCUUGGUGUAGCGGUGAAAUGCGUAGAUAUCAAGAGGAACACCUGAGGUGAAGACGGGUUGCUGGGCUGAUACUGACGCUGAAGCGCGAAAGCUAGGGUAGCAAACGGG